This is a long non-coding RNA of Microcebus murinus (gray mouse lemur), 1104 nucleotides long. RefSeq lists it as uncharacterized. The record is from RefSeq and is a predicted model, not a curated record. Lineage: Eukaryota; Metazoa; Chordata; Mammalia; Primates; Cheirogaleidae.
CUCAAUGCCCAGCUCUCCCCUUGACAGCCCAGCAGGCUCCCUGAGCCAGGCAGGUGUGGGCAAAGGCACCGUCUGAGCUCCACGUGCGUAAACCUGCUUGGCAGGGGCUGCAAAACCCUAUAUUCUGAAAUGGGGCCAACCCAUUACCAGUGCUCAGUAAUGCAGUGGAUUUCUCCAGUGGUGAUUCGGGGUUCCAUUACUGUGUUUAUUUUACUGAAGAUGAACCUGAGGCCCAGAAAGAUUAAGCAACUUGCUCGAAGUCACAAAAUUCGACAAUCAUUGCCUAAAAAUCCCCCUUGCUGUUAGAAGGCUGAAGCAGCCACUCCUUCAGAGACCAACGCACCUGCGAUUGUUCUGCUUCCUUCUGCCACACAGGCCAUUGUGCAACAUCUGGAUAAGUAGCUACAACACAGCGCCUUUUCCUGUCUUGGGGCUCAGCCUCCCAUGGACCGUGGGGUCAAGUGUUGCUUAAUUCCAUGGCCUCCUCUGCUGUCUCUUCAAUCAGUGCUGUCAUUUCCCCAGUUGGAGCGUUGAUGACUAGUCUGGACAAUAGGUUUGCUAUAAGUGAGUCUUUGCCUGGGGUAUAGAUUACUCGUAAAUCAUAUCUUUAUAACAGUAAUAACAUUCCCUGUCGUCUAGCAGGUGCGUGGCCUGGUGGUUUGUGAUCUGUCUGGAUAGUCAGGCUUCUGCCAAAUGCAUAUUUGUGGAACUCUCGUAGUGCAUGUAUCAUUGCCAACUUUUUUUUCUUUCUUGCUCAAACAGACUUUGUUUUUUUCAGCCAAAGCCAGCAUUAGAGAUGUGCACGUGACUACUGAACAAUCCAAUUGCUUGGUGAGAAUCUCACUAUAGGUUCUCAAUGGCCUUGUACCUUCCUUAUCAGACAGUUAUUCCACAGUGUUAAAGAACUUUAAAUGAAAGAGGAAAGGAACUCAAAUUUGCGAGGUACCUGCAAUGUGCCAAUCACUGUGCUAGCUGUCUCACCCAGAAUAUUUUAACACUUUAACUGCCAUGAGAGUUGUAGUUAACUCACUCUAAUGUUGACCCCGGGCUAUGUGAAGCAUAUAUAAAAUCUUACUUGUUAGUGUUCUUAUUGUUACAAUUAAU